RNAcentral lists this ribosomal RNA (496 nucleotides) under uncultured bacterium. RNAcentral's name for it is "partial 16S ribosomal RNA". It matches the Rfam family "Bacterial small subunit ribosomal RNA", at positions 28 to 506 of the family's 1533-position model. The record is from RNAcentral.
GAUGAACGCUGGCGGCGUGCCUAAUACAUGCAAGUCGAGCGAACGGACGAGAAGCUUGCUUCUCUGAUGUUAGCGGCGGACGGGUGAGUAACACGUGGAUAACCUACCUAUAAGACUGGGAUAACUUCGGGAAACCGGAGCUAAUACCGGAUAAUAUUUUGAACCGCAUGGUUCAAAAGUGAAAGACGGUCUUGCUGUCACUUAUAGAUGGAUCCGCGCUGCAUUAGCUAGUUGGUAAGGUAACGGCUUACCAAGGCAACGAUGCAUAGCCGACCUGAGAGAUGAUUCGGCCAACCGGAACCUGGACACGGGUCCAGACCCCAAGGGAGGGCAGCGGUGGGAAAUCUUCAGCAAGGGGGGAAAGCUGGACGAGGCAACGCGGGGGGGGUAAUGAAGGUCUUCGGAUCGUAAAACUCUGUUAUUAGGAAAGAACAUAGGUGUAAGUAACGGUGCACAUCUGGACGGUACCAAAUCAGAAAGCCACGGCUAACUACGU